UGGCGAUUUAGUACUGUGUGAUACCUUAUGUGAGGGCUCUGUGCCCAAGUGUUUUGUUAAGUCUCUGAUCCUCUUCCACCAUACACAUAGAGAGCCAAAAGGAACAAACUGACAAACUCCAGGACUGAAGAGACUCUGGCUGCCUGCAGCUACCCGAAUCAUGCAUGGGCUUCCCCAAGGACAGCAGCAAGACUGCCCCUUCUACUUCACUGGUCCAGACGGACUCAGUUAUUCCUUAUUCAGGAAGACCCUUCUGAAGGAAAUAAUCUGCAUGACUCGAGCAUGAGGAGAAUCUCUGGAAACAUAGCCACCAUCGAAUAGGAACAAGAGGGACUGGGGACUAGCUACUGGAGACCGAUGCUUACCUCGGCUGGCCUCCGAAUAAGCUGCAUGGCUCCAGGCUUGGUGUCCAGCUGCCUUUCAGGCUGUUAUAAACUAACUACGAACAGU
Molecule: long non-coding RNA, 450 nt
Filed under: Mus spicilegus (steppe mouse)
Lineage: Eukaryota; Metazoa; Chordata; Mammalia; Rodentia; Muridae
Description: lncRNA (ENSMSIG00000019765.1)
Source: RNAcentral